AGAAUGAUAUACAUAAUUUCCGUUCUUAAUUCAAGAAGAUUAAAAAUGAUGAAAUACCGGAAGACAACCAACGUAUGACCAUCGAAUAUUUAAAAUUCUCCGAGGAGAUACCAUGACUCAUUAAUUUUUUAAUGCCCGUACGUAUCAUCGAUUUUCGAGACGCCAAGCAGAAUUCUCUCUUACCGACGUUCUGUUUCUUCACUUCUCUCUUCUUGACCUUACACUAAUCUUCUUUUCAUCAAAUCUACGUGUGCUUCGAGAUUCUGCCAAUUGGAACUUAUGAUGUUGCUUUAUCGUGAUCAUCGUAAUCAGACCAAUCCAAGAAGAAUAUAGAAAAUCAUAAAAAACAUUUAAGGACACUUUUA
Molecule: long non-coding RNA, 365 nt
Organism: Apis laboriosa (Himalayan honeybee)
Lineage: Eukaryota; Metazoa; Arthropoda; Insecta; Hymenoptera; Apidae
Exons: 3
Source: RefSeq, a predicted model, not a curated record